RNAcentral lists this unclassified non-coding RNA (468 nucleotides) under Hevea brasiliensis (rubber tree). Lineage: Eukaryota; Viridiplantae; Streptophyta; Magnoliopsida; Malpighiales; Euphorbiaceae. The record is from RNAcentral.
AAAAAAGAUGGCUGAAGAUAUGAAGAAUGAGAUUCAAGAUCUGUUAACUAAACCUAUUACUCCAAGUGAAGAACCUGCUAAAGAAUCAUCAGAAAAAGAAGAAGGACAAGGGGUAGUAGUUAUGAAUGAUCAACAAGAUGAAGCAAAAGAAGUAGAAGAUGAGAAGUUGGUGCAUGUAGUUGAAAAAGCAAAAUUUCCAACUCCUCCUGGCAAACGACCUGGUCCUACCAUUGGUUGAAAUAAUAAUAUAAUUAUAAAUACAACUUUCGGAAAUUUUAAUUGCCUCUCUUUUUAUCGUUAAGUAGUUGAAAUAAUAAGAUACUUAGUGAGUAUUGAAAUCGACUAGACAGAAAGUAAUAUUAUUGUUCAUUGCAUGUGUUUGUUGAUCUUAUUUUCACUUUUAAUAUACUUUAUCAAUAUGAUGUGGAAACAUACAUAUUAUGUAAUAACACAACUUGUGUGUUGGCG